Molecule: ribosomal RNA, 497 nt
Filed under: uncultured bacterium
Lineage: Bacteria
Description: partial 16S ribosomal RNA
Rfam family: Bacterial small subunit ribosomal RNA
Source: RNAcentral
GAUGAACGCUGGCGGCGUGCCUAAUACAUGCAAGUCGAGCGAACAGACGAGGAGCUUGCUCCUCUGACGUUAGCGGCGGACGGGUGAGUAACACGUGGAUAACCUACCUAUAAGACUGGGAUAACUUCGGGAAACCGGAGCUAAUACCGGAUAAUAUAUUGAACCGCAGGGUUCAAUAGUGAAAGACGGUUUUGCUGUCACUUAUAGAUGGAUCCGCGCCGCAUUAGCUAGUUGGUAAGGUAACAGCUUACCAAGGCAACGAUGCGUAGCCGACCUGAGAGGGUGAUCGGCCACACUGGAACUGAGACACGGUCCAGACUCCUACGGGAGGCAGCAGUAGGGAAUCUUCCGCAAUGGGCGAAAGCCUGACGGAGCAACGCCGCGUGAGUGAUGAAGGUCUUCGGAUCGUAAAACUCUGUUAUUAGGGAAGAACAAAUGUGUAAGUAACUAUGCACGUCUUGACGGUACCUAAUCAGAAAGCCCCGGCUAACUACGUG